Long non-coding RNA from Eriocheir sinensis (Chinese mitten crab), 1948 nucleotides. RefSeq lists it as uncharacterized. Lineage: Eukaryota; Metazoa; Arthropoda; Malacostraca; Decapoda; Varunidae. The transcript has 3 exons. The record is from RefSeq and is a predicted model, not a curated record.
AAAACAGAAUAGAAGGAAAAUAUUAUGAGCAAACAGGAAAACACAAACAAAAAAUAAAUAAACGUAGAAAACAAAAAUGGAGAAGGGAGAGGAAACGGAGAAGCGAUAAAGGACAAGAAGAAGGAAAAGAAAGAAAAAAAACUAGAUAAAAAUGACAAGAAACGAAGAUCAAAGAGGAAAAUGAUUAAGGAAAAGAAAGACGUGAUCGUGAAAUUGGAAAUACACAGAAAGGAAGGAAAAACAACUUGAAGGAAAACAUGGAAAUUUGGUGGAUAAGAAAGAUAGGCUGUAAAAAGUUGAUUAAGGACAAGAAAACGAGGAUAAGUUAAGUAAGGUAAGGUAAGGUAAGGUCAGGUUAAGUUAGGUAAGGUAAGGUCAGGUUAAGUUAGGUAAGGUAAGGUAAGGUCAGGUUAGGUAAGGUAAGGUAAGGUCAGGUUAGGUAAGGUAAGGUAAGGUCAGGUUAAGUUAGGUAAGGUAAGGUAAGGUCAGGUUAAGUUAGGUAAGGUAAGGUAAGGUCAGGUUAAGUUAGGUAAGGUAAGGUAAGGUCAGGUUAAGUUAGGUAAGGUAAGGUAAGGUAAGGUUAAGUUAGGUAAGGUAAGGUCAGGUUAAGUUAGGUAAGGUAAGGUAAGGUAGGGUUAAGUUAGGUAAGGUAAGGUCAGGUUAAGUUGGGUAAGGUAAGGUGUAGGGGAUAUCAGGGUAAGGGGUCAUUGAGGUAAAAAAAAAUAUAUAUACACAAAAAAUAGCUUAGGAAAGGAAAUAUUGAAGGAAGGAAAAGAUUGAAGAAACACAACAUAAAGCAAACGAUUCUAGGAAAAACAAAACAAAUGACGGAGCAGAUUAAAGGACAAAACGGAGAAUAUUAGGCUAAAAAAAGCGAAUAAGAGGAAAGUGUUAUAGGAAGGGCAAGGAAAUCCGGCACGAUAUAUCAAGAACCCGGAGACAUUGCAGGAAAAAAUAUAGGUGCAUAGAAAUAGUUGUUAAAGAAAGAAGAAGAAGAAGAAAAAGAAGAAGAAGAAGAAGAAAGAGGGAAAGGAAGUCCGGUGAUAUAUCAAGAAACCGAAGACAUUGAAGGAAAAAAAAAAAAACGUUGCAUAGAAGUAGUUAAAGAUAGAAGGAAAAGAAGAAAAUGAAGAAGAAGAAGAAAAAAGAAGAAGACGAAGAAAAAGAAGAAGAAGAGGAGGAGGAAGAGGAAGAAUUAAUAGUUAAAGAUAGAAUAAAUAAAAUAACGUAUCUUCCAAGGUCACAGAUAAAGUUAACCGGGCUUUCAUGGGUGGCGGUAUUCGAGUUCAAAGUGUGGAAACAAAACUACCCCUGGAAAUGCCCAAAAAACACCUAUGAAAGCCUUGCCAACUCCUUCCAAAGACCAAAGAGAUCAGUCGGGUUCAAGUGAGUGGUAUAUGAGGUUCACGGUACAGAGGAAGGGUCAUACCACCACCAGGGUCACAAAACUACCCCUGGAAAUGCCCCAAAAAAACACCUAUGAAAGCCUUGCCAACUGCUUCCAAAGACCAAAGAGAUCAGUCGGGUUCAAAUGAGUGGUAUCUGAGGUUCACGGUACAGAGGAAGGGUCAUACCACCACCAGGGUCACAAAACUACCCCUGGAAAUGCCCCAAAAACAACUAUAAAAGCCUUGCCGACUACUUCCAAGGACCACAGAGAUCAGUCGGGUUCAAAUGAGCAGAGGAAAUGGAACUCGUGUAAAAUUGUCACUGGGCUCACAAAACAGUCCAUGGCAAGCUCUUCAAACAAGCACCGAUACGUUAAUUAAGAAUACGGGCUUAAAAAAAUACACUGAACGCUGAACUAACACAGCCAAACACAUAUCUUCCAUAUCUCCACUGUGUAGGCCUACUUAAAAAACACGAUGGCGUAAGGAAAAAAUUUAAACAGUGGAACGAUUAUAGUGCCACUGAGAUUUAUGUUGUUGUUCUUGUUGUUGGUGGUGGU